RNAcentral lists this long non-coding RNA (1283 nucleotides) under Physcomitrium patens. RNAcentral's name for it is "long non-coding RNA (PPAT_LNC002877)". The record is from RNAcentral. Lineage: Eukaryota; Viridiplantae; Streptophyta; Bryopsida; Funariales; Funariaceae.
UCGAGCUCCUUUGCCUUCUCGCUCAUCUCUCGCACCGUCUUGCUCUUGCGUCUGCGUUGCCUACAUCUUGCCCGUAUCUCAAGGUACUGGAGAUUUCCCUCUCUCAAUUCUGGUAUGUACUGUGAGCCUCGAUUUCUAAAUAGUUCCAUCCUUUUCCCCUAAUAUUUUUGGUUGUUGUGUCUGUUUGUCUUGCGUGCUGCGGAGGAAUGGGAACUUGAGUGAGUGUGUGUGUGUAUGGGGAAGGUUUCGUUUUUCUUUCAAGUUGCUCGAAGUUGAGAAGCGCUGAGGAUUAAGAUCUGCAUCUGCAAACUGAGGUUUAGGUUGUCAUCUGCUUAUCUAUUUGUUUGUAAAUUUCUUUCUCUCCCGUUGUAUGGUUCACUUUCUUUCCAACAGAAGGUGUGACAAGAGUCUGUCGAUUGUUAGGCCUAGUUUAGGCCAUGGGCUGUGGAUUGUAAGUUUUUGGUAAGUUAACAAGCUUCGCAACGAAUGCCUCCCCGUAUUCUCUUUCGUUUUGCAGAUUAUCUUCUAGAUACAUCACGGAUCAGACACCUGAGAAGUAUAUUUUACUCAUUCGUUCUCCUUGAUUGGGCCUUUCUUCUUGAAAGGGAUUUUGUGUGAUCCGUUGAAACUGAGCAUUAGGUCGGUGUAUCUGUACAUCGUGUGAUCACAUGCCAUUACAUUUCGUUACGUCUCUUUAGUAUGGUUUUAGAAAUUUGAACUGGCCCUGCAGAUCCUGAAUAUCGGAAUCGGGGGGCUUUUAAGCAUGUUUGGUUUGCCGUUGGUUCCAAAGUUGAUAGUGCUUUGUCUCCUCAGUCCUGCAGUGAAGUGAGAUAUUGUGGCUGAUCUGUGAUGUUUGUUUGCAGUUAAGCAGUUUCUUAUCACCAGUUCAAACGAUGGCUUCCACAAGCGUUUUGAGGUCCGUUGUAGUCAUCUUCGCAGUUGCGUCUAGUUUGGUAGCAAUGGCCAAUGCACAGGCUGCCUCUCCGUCACCUGCACCUGACAGUGCUGGUAACUUAUCGAUUGUGCCUUCUAUUGUAGCACCCGUAAUGGGGAUGGUUAUUACGUUCUUCGCGAGCCGCAUGCUUUGGUAAGCAUGCUGAAUGUCUGGCAUCUCGAAUGGGAAGUUACACCCAAGCUAUGGAGAAUAAUUUUGUAAUGUAAUUCAGGUUUCGGCAAAGGUCGGUGCCAUAGAAAUUGUUUUGUACGGCACAGGACCUAUGAAGCCAUGUUAGACCAAAUUUUUUGCUUGCUUCACAAGGCGUGUCAUUUGUGCUCGGUUCUUU